UCCAGGCACUGGCCCAGAAACACUGUGGUGCAUGGGCCCUGAUCCCCUCUGCUGGGCCUCAGGGAUAAGUUUGGCUACAGACAUCA
This 86-nucleotide small nucleolar RNA is filed under the name Myotis brandtii (Brandt's bat). RNAcentral describes it as "Small nucleolar RNA SNORA5". It matches the Rfam family "Small nucleolar RNA SNORA5". From Rfam's summary of the family: ACA5 is a member of the H/ACA class of snoRNA that guide the sites of modification of uridines to pseudouridines. Lineage: Eukaryota; Metazoa; Chordata; Mammalia; Chiroptera; Vespertilionidae. The record is from Rfam by way of RNAcentral.